RNAcentral lists this ribosomal RNA (254 nucleotides) under uncultured bacterium. RNAcentral's name for it is "partial 16S ribosomal RNA". It matches the Rfam family "Bacterial small subunit ribosomal RNA", at positions 524 to 776 of the family's 1533-position model. The record is from RNAcentral.
UACGUAGGGUGCGAGCGUUGUCCGGAAUUAUUGGGCGUAAAGAGCUCGUAGGCGGUGUGUCGCGUCGGCCGUGAAAACCUGCAGCUUAACUGUGGGCUUGCGGUCGAUACGGGCAUCACUGGAGUUCGGCAGGGGAGACUGGAAUUCCUGGUGUAGCGGUGGAAUGCGCAGAUAUCAGGAGGAACACCAAUGGCGAAGGCAGAUCUCUGGGCCGUACCUGACACUGAGGCGCGAUAGCAUGGGGAGCAAACAGG